GACGAACCGUGCAAACGUUGUUCGGAAUCACUGGGCUUAAAGGGCGCGUAGGCGGGUUCCCAAGUCGGUGGUGAAAUCUUUCGGCCCAACCGGAAAAGUGCCGCCGAUACUGGGAGUCUCGAGGGAGGUAGGGGUCGAUGGAACUUCCGGUGGAGCGGUGAAAUUCGUAGAUAUCGGGAGGAACACCGGUGGCGAAGGCGGCGACCUGGGUAGAUACUGACGCUGAGGUGCGAAAGCGUGGGGAGCAAACAGG
Molecule: ribosomal RNA, 253 nt
Filed under: uncultured bacterium
Lineage: Bacteria
Description: partial 16S ribosomal RNA
Rfam family: Bacterial small subunit ribosomal RNA
Source: RNAcentral